Small nuclear RNA from Polypterus senegalus (gray bichir), 184 nucleotides. RefSeq annotates it as U2 spliceosomal RNA. Lineage: Eukaryota; Metazoa; Chordata; Cladistia; Polypteriformes; Polypteridae. The record is from RefSeq and is a predicted model, not a curated record. The transcript has a single exon.
GUGGCAUCGCCGCCUUUUGCUAAGAUCAUGUAGUAUCUAAUUCUUAUCAGUUUACGUCUGAUACUGCCCCGUCUAGGACCAUAUAUUAAAUUGAUUUUGAACAGGGAGAUGGAAUAGGGCUUGUUCAAUUCACCCACGCGAUCUACCUGGUAUUGCAGUAUUCUCCAGGGAGCGUGCACUUUCU